GUUGAAAUGUGAUGGAAACAGAUUGAACUUCUAUAUUUUUUAAUUGUAUUCGGUACAUGGGAACAUAACUGCAGAGUCAAUUUCAUGGAAACACAUCUCUGGUGGGAAAAUGCAGUAUAUUGUUUUUACGUGGAUUUUAGAAUAUAUGAAAAUCUGUCGCCAAUUGGAUGGAAACCUAGCUAAUGAUGAUAAAACAAGAGGAAACUUGUUUGCACCAUUCAAUUAUUCUCGCAACAGUAAGUUGCGAAAGACUGAGUUCCUAAAAAAUAUAUAACUUUUCUUAAACUCAGUCUUGAGGUCCUCCCUGAGUGAACAUUUAGUUUUUCCCCCUAGCACUACAGCUGAUUCAAAUCACCAACUCAUCACCAAGCUUUGAUUAUUUAAAUCAUCUGUGUAGUGCUAUGGCAAAACCCAAAGAUGCAACCGGAGGGGGGGCAGGACCAAGUUGGGGAAACCUUGACCCAAGUGACCGCAUUGCCUGUAGCCGGCCCUGUUCCUGACCUCUGACAUGGUUCUCUCAGUCAGCAGAUCAACAGUGUUAUUGCAAUGUAGUCAGCACUGCAGCAUGACAGCACUAAAUCAUCACCAUGAUCAUCCUCUACGUCACUAAAAAUUAACUUUCUCACAUGUCCACUAGUAUGAUGUGUGCAUACUUUUUUUCCUCAUUCUGCUCAUUCAUUUAUACACACACACACACACACACACACACGCACACACACACGCUCCAGAUCCCCAGACUCAGAGAGGGGGUUACAAAGAAACUGCAUGACAUCACAUGGUGGAGAGACAGACAGAGGGUUCAGAGGACUGUAGGUUGAAACUGAAUCAUAAUAAUUACAACAAUAUGAAACUGACCUCAGUCCAAAAUAAACCAGCUUAAAUCAUGAAAAACAUUUUCUCAAUAUUUUUCCAUUUCUUCUGAGAAAGAUAAUUUUGAAAAUGAUCAGCUUGAGUUACCCACCACCACUGAUCACAAGCGAGUCUACCUUUUCUGCCCGUGAGUAGGACAGAUUACUAUGGCAUGUUUAGUCUCAUACAACAGUGACUAGGGUCUAGUUUCAAUGCAGGACUCUUUUGGCAAAGAGGAACUAUGUCACUGUCAACAUCACUACUUUAUCUGUUUUAAAAAACAACUAAAUAGUAGCUAGCAAAAUGGAAAUUAU
This is a long non-coding RNA of Oncorhynchus tshawytscha (Chinook salmon), 1163 nucleotides long. Lineage: Eukaryota; Metazoa; Chordata; Actinopteri; Salmoniformes; Salmonidae. The record is from Ensembl.